Molecule: ribosomal RNA, 114 nt
Filed under: Cavia aperea (Brazilian guinea pig)
Lineage: Eukaryota; Metazoa; Chordata; Mammalia; Rodentia; Caviidae
Source: RNAcentral
GUCUACAUCCAUACCACUCUGAAUCCAUCCCAUCUUGUCUGAUCUCAAAGGUAAGCAGGGUUGAGUCUGGUUAGUAUUUGGAUGGGAGACUUUAAAUACUUAGGCCAUGUUACA